CCCAGACUCCUACGGGAGGCAGCAGUGGGGGAUAUUGCACAAUGGGGGGAACCCUGAUGCAGCGACGCCGCGUGGGUGAAGGAGCGUUUCGGCGCGUAAAGCCCUAUCGGCAGGGAAGAAGGAGGACGGUACCUGACUAAGAAGCCCCGGCUAACUACGUGCCAGCAGCCGCGGUAAUACGUAGGGGGCAAGCGUUAUCCGGAUUUACUGGGUGUAAAGGGGGCGCAGACGGCAGCGCAAGCCAGGAGUGAAAGCCCGGGGCCCAACCCCGGGACUGCUCUUGGAACUGCGCGGCUGGAGUGCAGGAGGGGCAGGCGGAAUUCCUGGUGUAGCGGUGAAAUGCGUAGAUAUUAGGAGGAACACCGGUGGCGAAGGCGGCCUGCUGGACUGCGACUGACGUUGAGGCCCGAAAGCGUGGGGAGCAAACAGGAUUAGAUACCCUUGUACCG
Molecule: ribosomal RNA, 449 nt
Filed under: uncultured bacterium
Lineage: Bacteria
Description: partial 16S ribosomal RNA
Rfam family: Bacterial small subunit ribosomal RNA
Source: RNAcentral